AAACUGAAGAGUUUGAUCAUGGCUCAGAUUGAACGCUGGCGGCAGGCCUAACACAUGCAAGUCGAACGGUAACAGGACUAGCUUGCUAGUUGCUGACGAGUGGCGGACGGGUGAGUAACGCGUAGGAAUCUACCAGGUAGUGGGGGACAACAGUUGGAAACGACUGCUAAUACCGCAUACGCCCUAUGGGGGAAAGGAGGGGAUCUUCGGACCUUUCGCUAUCUGAUGAGCCUGCGUGAGAUUAGCUUGUUGGUGAGGUAAUGGCUCACCAAGGCGACGAUCUCUAGCUGGUCUGAGAGGAUGAUCAGCCACACUGGGACUGAGACACGGCCCAGACUCCUACGGGAGGCAGCAGUGGGGAAUAUUG
RNAcentral lists this ribosomal RNA (367 nucleotides) under Oceanospirillaceae bacterium. RNAcentral's name for it is "bacterial SSU rRNA". It matches the Rfam family "Bacterial small subunit ribosomal RNA", at positions 1 to 366 of the family's 1533-position model. The record is from RNAcentral. Lineage: Bacteria; Pseudomonadati; Pseudomonadota; Gammaproteobacteria; Oceanospirillales; Oceanospirillaceae.